CCGCGUUCCCCUCGAUUUGCACUGUCACUCGGGCUGUUUGGAAAGAAGAGGGGAGGCGCUGUGCGUGCCUCCAUGUACUUGGAUCUGGGUGCACAAGUGUGUAUGUACGCCCAUGCCGCUGUGUGAGUUGUCAGGGCUUUGAUAACGUCCAGAGCAAGUUCGGGGGUCACCUCCAGAAACUCGCAGAAACUGGAAAGGGGCGAGCGGAGGACACAUGCCUUUCCUCGGAAGGACUUGGAAGACUUUGAGUCUCCCCUCCCCCACUUUUCCGCCCCGGCUCUUCUUUUGUUGUCAAGUCCUUUUGAUAAACGGUGGGGCAGGGAGAGUAGGGAGCCAAGAGCCAGUCUUUACCCGCAUGGGGGGCGGGGGCUGGGCCUGGAGACCUGGUUUCGAGGGGCGCUCGCCCGGAACUGAGCCGCGUACGCCCGCCCGGGGGUCGGGUCUGGAACCUGCCCUCGGCGUGCUCGCUCUCUCUUUCACCACCCCAUUCCCCUCUCCCCCAUUUUUGUCUCUGUCUCCCACUCCGCACAGGUACCGAGAACUUUCUGGGAAUCGACGGGAUUUCUCUGGCUGGUGUUUGAGCUGCCUGUAUCCGAAUAAAUCCAGCUCUCAAGCGUCCGGCAGGAAACGGCUCCGGGUUUGCGCGUACGCAGACGCAUCGGCCAGCGCGGGACGCGUUGUGGCUCCUCCUGUUCGUGCCGCGGCAGGUCCGGCCUCUGAGGGAGGCUAGCCCAGCAGCGCCUUUAGGCCGAACGGCCGCUCGCGGCCCGGCAGUGCCUGGCAGCUCCCAUCUCCGGCGGUAGUCGGCAACCGCUGGGCCAAGUCCGCCCGCGGCGAAAACUGAAAGCAAAUUCCGCGGCAGAUGAAGCCCGAACUUUCUUGGACGCAAGUUUGCAGUAGAGAUUCGGUGGCGGCUUUGGGAGGACAGCGCGCUAGUGUGUGCGCGCGCAAGGUGGGGCGGUGGGCGAAGAGAGCACCCGGCGGCCGAGCCUGGCCCGAGGCGAAACACUAGGGAAGGCGCCUUCCCUUCUUUAUUUCUCGCCAACUCCUCGGCUCCUGUCCGUAAAAAUAGUUUCCAAGGUGCCUCGGACGCCCAGAAUGUGUUUAUGGGGAUCGCACCAGAGAAAGGAAGGCUUUGUAAAAGUUGUAGAAAGAGCUUUGCGCAGCGUUCGCCCAGCGGGGUUCAAGAAAGCUUGGGACUAGCUCGCCUUCCCUGGGGAGGAAUAGCCAGAAAUUGGCCUGGGGAGCCCCCUGCCUAGUCCUGUCCCCUCACCUCCAACCCACGAGUAUAUAAGCUCUCGCUGCCUGCGCUGCAAACUUCUCGGCGCGGCGCCGCGGUCAGCGGGCGAGGACAGGACGCAGAGCGGGCCGGCAAGGCCGCUCCUCGGAGCUCUCAGCCCCAGCCCUGAGUGAGGCUUGCGCGGAGGUGAGAGGACGAGUGUGGUUCCCGCUCCCACUUGGCUGCCGAAACCGUCAUCGCCGACCUCCCAACUCCCGGAGCCGGCGCUUCCCCUGGGAGCGGCGGUCUUGGGGGGCUGGCGAGGGCGCAAAUUGCGCGUGCGAAGCGAAGCGCACGAGGGCGGGGGCGGCCGCGGGUCUCUCCGCGGGGCCUGUCGCCGAGCCGGCCGCGGCGGGUGAGUGAUGAGGGCAGAGAAGGGCGCCCAUAAAUCGUGAGUGUCAGGGCGAAAAACUCUCUUUAUUGUCUGUGUGAUGGAUGGGCCCGGGGACGAGACACCAAAUACUUCGUAUCGCCUUUAAAUGGGAACACAUUUUCCGCGGCCAUAAUUCAUGUUUUUUAAAUAGAAAGUUUGAAAUGUUGCCUAUAUUUCACCGGCCCUGACAUAUUUAUGAAUCGCUCCCUGCAUGCAAAUAUCAUUAUUUAAAGCGCCGGGGAGAGCUGGGGGAGGGGAGGAGGCGCAGCCCCCGGGGCGUGGGGGUGGUGAACCGGGGAAAUGCGGAUGGAAGGGGGGCCAUCUCCCUAAAGUGCGGACGACGAGGCGCGGGGAAGCCGUAUCCGGAAACUGAGCUCACUGGGGGCUCCCCUCCUGCCGCCGGACCCCCGCACCGCAGCUCCGGGAAGUUUGCGCGGCUUGGGGCCGAGGACAGUCCCCCGCCCCCUGCUAGGAGACCAAGGGGCAUUUUGCGUCCUUCUCCGAGGCUCUGAUCCGAGCCUAAACCGCCUUUUCCAAGAAGGAAGUAAAAAAAAAAGAAUUUAACAAACGCAAAUAAUAACAAUCCAAC
RNAcentral lists this long non-coding RNA (2241 nucleotides) under Equus caballus (horse). RNAcentral's name for it is "lncRNA (ENSECAG00000057981.1)". Lineage: Eukaryota; Metazoa; Chordata; Mammalia; Perissodactyla; Equidae. The record is from RNAcentral.